This 71-nucleotide transfer RNA is filed under the name Candidatus Staskawiczbacteria bacterium. Its description in RNAcentral is "tRNA-Thr". It matches the Rfam family "tRNA". From Rfam's summary of the family: Transfer RNA (tRNA) molecules are approximately 80 nucleotides in length. Lineage: Bacteria; Candidatus Staskawicziibacteriota. The record is from RNAcentral.
GCCGCUUUAGUUAAGUGGUAGAACAACGCUUUCGUAAAGCGUAGACACAAGUUCGAUUCUUGUAAGCGGCU